AAGCAACACUCUGUGGCAAAUUGUCUAACACAAUUUCCCCUUGCUAUAGCAAGAAAGUCUAACCUAUUCCGGUGUUCUGUCUUCCGUGAGACACGCCAUUAUAUAGACUUAAACAGU
Choloepus hoffmanni (Hoffmann's two-fingered sloth) is the source of this 117-nucleotide small nucleolar RNA. Lineage: Eukaryota; Metazoa; Chordata; Mammalia; Pilosa; Megalonychidae. The record is from Ensembl.